UACAGAGGGUGCGAGCGUUACUCGGAAUUACUGGGCGUAAAGCGUGCGUAGACGGUCAUGUAAGUCGGAUGUGAAAGCCCCGGGCUCAACCUGGGAAUUGCAUUCGAGACUGCAAGGCUUGGGUGCGGAAGAGGGAAGCGGAAUUUCCGGUGUAGCGGUGAAAUGCGUAGAUAUCGGAAGGAACACCAGUGGCGAAAGCGGCUUCCUGGUCCGACACCGACGUUCAGGCACGAAAGCGUGGGGAGCAAACAGG
Molecule: ribosomal RNA, 253 nt
Filed under: uncultured bacterium
Lineage: Bacteria
Description: partial 16S ribosomal RNA
Rfam family: Bacterial small subunit ribosomal RNA
Source: RNAcentral